Molecule: long non-coding RNA, 461 nt
Organism: Oncorhynchus tshawytscha (Chinook salmon)
Lineage: Eukaryota; Metazoa; Chordata; Actinopteri; Salmoniformes; Salmonidae
Source: Ensembl
CUGGAUUUGGAGUCACACUCAAAAUUAAAGUGGAAAACCACACUACAGGCUGAUCCAACUUUGAUGUAAUGUCCUUAAAACAAGUCAAAUUGAGGCUCAGUAGUGUGUGUGGCCUCCACGUGCCUGUAUGACCUCCCUACAACGCCUGGGCAUGCUCCUGAUGAGGUGGCAGAUGGUCUCCUGAGGGAUCUCCUCCCAGACCUGGACUAAAGCAUCCGCCAACUCCUAGACAGUCUGUGGUGUAACCGAGACAUGAUGUCCCAGAUGUGCUCAAUUGGAUUCAGGUCUGGGGAACGGGCGGGCCAGUCCAUAGCAUCAAUGCCUUCCUCUUGCAGGAACUGCUGACACACUCCAGCCACAUGAGGUCUAGCAUUGUCUUGCAUUAGAAGGAACCCAGGGCCAACCGCACCAGCAUAUGGUCUCACAAGGGGUCUGAGGAUCUCAUCUCGGUACCUAAUGGC